AACGAACGCUGGCGGCAUGCCUAACACAUGCAAGUCGAACGAGACCUUCGGGUCUAGUGGCGCACGGGUGCGUAACGCGUGGGAACCUGCCCUUAGGUUCGGAAUAACUCCCCGAAAGGGGUGCUAAUACCGGAUAAUGUCUUCGGACCAAAGAUUUAUCGCCUUUGGAUGGGCCCGCGUUGGAUUAGCUAGUUGGUAGGGUAAAAGCCUACCAAGGCGACGAUCCAUAGCUGGUCUGAGAGGAUGAUCAGCCACACUGGGACUGAGACACGGCCCAGACUCCUACGGGAGGCAGCAGUGGGGAAUAUUUGGCAAUGGGCGAAAGCCUGAUCCAGCAAUGCCGCGUGAGUGAUGAAGGCCUUAGGGUUGUAAAGCUCUUUUACCCGGGAUGAUAAUGGCAGUACCGGGAGAAUAAGCUCCGGCUAACUCCGUG
This 433-nucleotide ribosomal RNA is filed under the name uncultured bacterium. RNAcentral's name for it is "partial 16S ribosomal RNA". It matches the Rfam family "Bacterial small subunit ribosomal RNA", at positions 29 to 507 of the family's 1533-position model. The record is from RNAcentral.